GGGCCUCAGUUUCUCCAGCUAGGUGGUAUGCUGGUGCUGGCUGGCCUGGGACUUUUGCGAUCUCCCUAGCAGAACACCAUACUAGAGGUUCCUUCUACUAAAUCCGACCAGCACCUGAACUAAACCGUGGCCUAGGACUGGCAUGCAGGUCAGGCACUGACAAGGAGAUCCAGGAAACUCAUCUGGGAAAUGAUGGAGACCUGGACCAGCAGCAACAGAGAGCAGAGAGGAGUGAAUGGGCCGAUGGUAUCAUAGCAAGCAGAACUUAGGGGCGAUGAGGACAAAUGAAUGCCCUCUCUGUUGUGGGCAAGGACACUGGGCUGGUGAAAGUGCUCAGUAACACAUGGGAACUGCAGUGAAGCCAGAGGAGGACCCAGUAUCACGACAGUGUGAAGAGAGAAGCCCUCUGCCCAGACCGAAAAGAGUACAUCCAGGGGGACGGGAAGCAAACAGAAGAGAAAGCACAGAAGUCAAGAGAAGCAAGUGUGGAUGACAGCAAGGGGGGAGGAGGGGACGGCAGUAUCCAAUCCCUGAUGACGUCUAUUGGAUUUGGUGGCAUGUUGGUCCCUUGGUCCGAGGAGCCUCGAGGGCAGAGAAGGACCUGAGCCAGCCCAGGUGGGGAAACUGAGUCCCAGAAGGAGGCCUGCCUCCCUGCGCUCAUACAUUAGAUCACACUGGGUACUGGGCCUGGCCUUGAAUCUCUCAGUCACGAGGGAUCAAGAAUCCCAUGUGCUGCAGCCUGGAGGAAGGGGUCUUCUGGCAUGAAGACUGAGCAAGGUUAGGUUCACCUGGGGACACAAGAGGCUGACAGCAGGCGGGCUCCUCCGGAGAGGAAAAUGUUCUUGGGGAAAGCUCCUAGGGACCCCUCCCUGGCGCAGCCUUUGGCUCAAGCCGGUUUUCCACCACAAGGAAUUCUCCCAUUUCUAAGGUGCGAGCCACCAGACCCCAAAUCCCGGCCUGGGCGGGGGCAUAGUGGAAGGGGCGUGGUUUGUGGGCGGGGUAGUAUGAGGUGGGGCUUUGCCAUUGCAAGCUCGAAGAGCGGCGGCUCCGGUUACCUCUCCGCGGCCUCCCCGCCCGGCCGGCUUAUUUUUCGUUUCCAAAUUAACAAUUGAAAACGCUGCGGCCUGAAAGGCGAGCAGCGGGCCAAGCGGAAAGUGUGAAGGUGCUGCGGCGUCACCAAGGCCGGGGGUGGAGAGAGUGCAUUCGACACCCCGAAGGGCCACGAUUGCCCACCCACGAAGGCCGACGGCGCGAGGGAGGGGGAGAGGAACGACGGAAUCUUGGCCUGAUGUAGCCUUCCCUGUGCUGCUCUGGCUAGGGUCGCCGGACCCAGUGCUCAGGCUCGGGAUGAUGCCAGCCUCUGCGAGGACGAAAGGGGGAAAGGGGAGAGCGCGCUAGGGCUAGGUUUCCACUCACAGGCUGAGUGCCCAGGCGGACAGCAGGUGCCAGGCAGCACCUCAUAGCACCGUCCUUAAAGGCUCCUAGUGUCAAGGAGUUUUACGUGUGGCCUCAAGCAAGUCACUUCAGCUUGCCAAGACUCGAUUUCCUCAUCUGGAAAAUGGAGAGAAAAUAAGCACCUUCCAAAUAGAUAAAGGAGGCUGGCUCAUAGAGAAACCUUUUAUCGUCGCAGCUAUUACCUGUGUUGUCAGUGAUGUGGUAGUAUUGACUCCUAGGUACCCCUCUUCCUCCCACCAUAGCCAAAGUUACUUAUCACCCUCCUCGGGGCCUUCUUGAUCCCGGUAAGGGGCUCAAAGACUAGGUGAGUGAGAAGACCUGGGCUCCUCCUUCAAAGGGGGCGGUGCCAGGCCUGCACCAUGAAUACCCUUGUUGCCCAGUGUAUGAAGGAUAAUAGAUAAACUCCCUGUUCCCUGUCACCUAGGCACAGGGAGACAGGUGUUAGCCCUCCUGCCCCUGUAGCGCAUAAAGUGCAUUCUGUAUUCUGUGAAUACAGAAGCUUUGUCUUUUUCAUGGUCUCUCUCCAACACCUAGGACAAGCACAGUGCAAUGUAGGUUCCCAAUGAAUAACUAUUGAGUGAGAGAAUGAACAAGCAGGCCAGUCAACCUGGGAAAGUCUCUAGUGGCACCUUUAUAAAGGGAGCAGGGAGAACCCUCCCAUCCAGAAACACAGGGCAAGUGACAUGGCAGGAGGUGGGAGACAUAGGGAGACAGAGAAGAGAGACAACAUUCUCAGGAGGCAGAAUAAAGAUAAUCUGUCUCCUGUUCCCCCACUACCCACUCCUGGUCAGCCUAGGACCCAGCCUGGUUCUUCUAGUUGGGUCUUCACAACUUCCUAGGAGUCAGGCCUGGCCCCACACCCGGUCUACCUGGAACCCAGUGCGAGUGCCCCGUCCCACGUCUGUCAGUCCUACGGCCUCGAUCCACUUCCCACACUGAUUCCUAUGCUGUCUCCCAUGCUUGGCACCCUCCUCCAGUCCCAGGCAUCCCUGUUCAACUUUGGGAAGCAGUACCCCGCCAGUCCCUUAGGAUUCCAAAGUCCUAGCUGGGCACCCUCAGAAACCUUUGUCACUGUCUCCUCUGUCUGGUCUGUGCCGUGUCCCACUGUCCCACUGCCCCACUCCCUCUGUCCCACUCCACUGACACUCAUUUUCUAAAGCAACUCAGACUUGCUCCUUCACGUCCACUAGGCUGGUCCAAGUGGGUGCCAAGGGCUUGAACCCUGGUGACUUGGGACUUUGCCAGCCUUGUGAAGCCUGAGGAGUCUGGAGAAAGUUGUCUUGGGGUUACUUGGAGAAGCCUGGGCAGAGGGAGGGAGGGCCAGUACCCAAACACCUCUGAUGCUGGCAGGACAGGGCAGAGUUCAAAUGGAGACCCACCUAUGGGAAGUCUAAAUAUUUAAAAGUUUAAAUCAAGUUAACAAGCUGUUAAAUAAAAUGUGUUCUGUUCUUCCUGGCA
This is a non-coding RNA of Rattus norvegicus (Norway rat), 2913 nucleotides long. The record is from RefSeq and is a predicted model, not a curated record. NCBI's taxonomy places the organism in Eukaryota, Metazoa, Chordata, Mammalia, Rodentia, Muridae.